RNAcentral lists this ribosomal RNA (484 nucleotides) under uncultured bacterium. RNAcentral's name for it is "partial 16S ribosomal RNA". It matches the Rfam family "Bacterial small subunit ribosomal RNA", at positions 30 to 507 of the family's 1533-position model. The record is from RNAcentral.
AUUGAACGCUGGCGGCGGGCCUAACACAUGCAAGUCGAGCGAACGAAGGAGGAUUGCUCCUCUCUUACGCUACCGGCGGAUGGGUAAUGCAUAGGAAGAUGACUGAUCGUUGGGACUAACGUAAGUUAAGGAGCCCUGAUAUCGCAUACGUUAUGAGGGUGAAAGGGAUGGAUCUUCAGACAUCACGGUAUCUGAUGUGACUACGUCGGAUUAGCUAGUUGGUGAGGUAAAGGCUUACCAAGGCGACGAUCCGUAACUGAUCUGAGAGGAUGAUCAGCCACACUGGAACUGAGACACGGUCCAGACUCCUACGGGAGGCAGCAGUGGGGAAUAUUGCGCAAAGGGCGAAAGCCUGAUCCAGCCAUGCCGCGUGAGUGAAGAAGGUCUUCGGAUCGUAAAGCACUGUAAGUUGGGAAGAAGGAAAGUAAGAUAAUAUCUUGAUGUUUUGACGUUACCAACAGAAAAAGCAACGGCUAACUUCGUG